This 563-nucleotide ribosomal RNA is filed under the name Cadophora sp. 39h. Its description in RNAcentral is "LSU rRNA". It matches the Rfam family "Eukaryotic large subunit ribosomal RNA", at positions 11 to 577 of the family's 3401-position model. Lineage: Eukaryota; Fungi; Ascomycota; Leotiomycetes; Helotiales; Ploettnerulaceae. The record is from RNAcentral.
UCAGGUAGGGAUACCCGCUGAACUUAAGCAUAUCAAUAAGCGGAGGAAAAGAAACCAACAGGGAUUACCUCAGUAACGGCGAGUGAAGCGGUAACAGCUCAAAUUUGAAAGCUGGCUCUUUUAGGGUUCGCGUUGUAAUUUGUAGAAGAUGCUUCGGGUGUGGCCCCGGUCUAAGUUCCUUGGAACAGGACGUCAUAGAGGGUGAGAAUCCCGUAUGUGACUGGGUGCUUUCGCUCAUGUGAAGCUCUUUCGACGAGUCGAGUUGUUUGGGAAUGCAGCUCAAAAUGGGUGGUAAAUUUCAUCUAAAGCUAAAUAUUGGCCAGAGACCGAUAGCGCACAAGUAGAGUGAUCGAAAGAUGAAAAGCACUUUGGAAAGAGAGUUAAACAGUACGUGAAAUUGUUGAAAGGGAAGCGCUUGCAACCAGACUUGCGCGCUGAUGAUCAUCCGGGCUUCUGCCCGGUGCACUCGUCUGCGCUCAGGCCAGCAUCGGUUUCGGUGGUGGGAUAAAGGCCUUGGGAAUGUGGCUCCUCUCGGGGAGUGUUAUAGCCCUCGGUGCAAUGCC